GGGGUAGUAGCUCAACUGGAUAGAGCACAUUACUGUGAAACUUUAAAAUUAUCUCCAUAAGGUCAAUUAAGGUUUACUCCUUUGGGAUAAUGAGGCUGUUGGUUCGAGUCCAACCUACUCCA
This 122-nucleotide transfer RNA is filed under the name Dysgonomonas sp. Marseille-P4677. It matches the Rfam family "tRNA". From Rfam's summary of the family: Transfer RNA (tRNA) molecules are approximately 80 nucleotides in length. Their secondary structure includes four short double-helical elements and three loops (D, anti-codon, and T loops). Further hydrogen bonds mediate the characteristic L-shaped molecular structure. tRNAs have two regions of fundamental functional importance: the anti-codon, which is responsible for specific mRNA codon recognition, and the 3' end, to which the tRNAs corresponding amino acid is attached (by aminoacyl-tRNA synthetases). tRNAs cope with the degeneracy of the genetic code in two manners: having more than one tRNA (with a specific anti-codon) for a particular amino acid; and 'wobble' base-pairing, i.e. permitting non-standard base-pairing at the 3rd anti-codon position. The record is from Rfam by way of RNAcentral. Lineage: Bacteria; Pseudomonadati; Bacteroidota; Bacteroidia; Bacteroidales; Dysgonomonadaceae.